Molecule: ribosomal RNA, 491 nt
Filed under: uncultured bacterium
Lineage: Bacteria
Description: partial 16S ribosomal RNA
Rfam family: Bacterial small subunit ribosomal RNA
Source: RNAcentral
AGUGAACGCUGGCGGUAGGCCUAACACAUGCAAGUCGAACGGCAGCACAGUAAGAGCUUGCUCUUACGGGUGGCGAGUGGCGGACGGGUGAGGAAUACAUCGGAAUCUACUUUUUCGUGGGGAUAACGUAGGGAAACUUACGCUAAUACCGCAUACGACCUACGGGUGAAAGCAGGGGAUCUUCGGACCUUGCGCGAUUGAAUGAGCCGAUGUCGGAUUAGCUAGUUGGCGGGGUAAAGGCCCACCAAGGCGACGAUCCGUAGCUGGUCUGAGAGGAUGAUCAGCCACACUAGAACUGAGACACGGUCCAGACUCCUACGGGAGGCAGCAGUGGGGAAUAUUGGACAAUGGGCGCAAGCCUGAUCCAGCCAUACCGCGUGGGUGAAGAAGGCCUUCGGGUUGUAAAGCCCUUUUGUUGGGAAAGAAAAGCAGCAGGUUAAUACCCCGCUGUUCUGACGGUACCCAAAGAAUAAGCACCGGCUAACUUCGUG